RNAcentral lists this long non-coding RNA (4819 nucleotides) under Sus scrofa (pig). RNAcentral describes it as "lncRNA (ENSSSCG00000063012.1)". The record is from RNAcentral. Lineage: Eukaryota; Metazoa; Chordata; Mammalia; Artiodactyla; Suidae.
AGGCCCAAGUGUGGUGUAAUGACAAUUCAAUAUUCUAUAAUUAUAGUUUACUACCUGCUUUGAGAACCUACUAUGUGGCAGACACUAGGCUGAAAGUUGAGGAGUGAUCAAAAGCAAGAGAAGGAUAUAUUGAUCACUGUCAUGGAGUUCAAGUACAAUUAUGAGGUAGACAGAAGAUAAUGUAAGCUCAAAAAAAAAAAAAAAGGGAGGGAGGAGUCAGUGAGGAAAUGGUUAUUUGGGGGAUUAACAGUUUCUCCUGAUACUUCUCAUGAAAUCUUGGUGUAAUCUUUAUUUUAAUGAGAUGUUUUACUGUCUUAGAAAUAUUCUUUUCAAAAUGCUGCUUUCUAAAUAAUUUGGGGGCAGUUUUUCAGCACUUUUUUUUCUCCUGCUGAAUCUCACAUAACAAUCAUUCAUUUAAAUUUUAUAACCCAAGAAAUAUAAAAAGAUGCACACCUGAAUAACUAAUACAGUUAGGAAUAUUAUCUAUCAUCCUGUCAUGAAAGGUCCUUGGCUUGCCUUGGAGAAAGCAGUGGAUUCUUUCUGUAUAGAAUACUUCAAUUUUUAGGCAUAUUUAAUUGCAAAGAAUUAGUUUAAAGCAGUUUGUUUCCCCAUUGAAUUUAAAAUGAAUAAGAGAGAGUGCUCUGACAUAAAAAAGAGUAGUGCUCAAAUUCACUGGCUCUGGCUUCUGAUCCUAUUUGAAGCUUUCUAGCACUUGUCAAACUCUCCAAGGGACUCUAUAACUUAAAGGAGGAGGUAAGUGACUCUUGGGAAGCUUAAUGUGAAAUUUGGUAUUUUGUGUUAAAGAAUUUGACUUGUGUCUUAACUUACAAUCUGCUCUCAGCACUAAAUUAUUCAAAAACUAUAAAGCAAAGGGAGAUGAUUCAUAGGCACAUUUGGGAGGGGUGGAAGAGUGGUUGCGAAGGGUUGUUUGCUUUUUAUUUUGUUUUAAUCAAAAUCCUAAGGAAAUAGGCUCAGAUUAGUUAAUACCUUCUGCAUCACUGAACCAUUGCUAUGCAACAAAUGUCCCCAAACUCAGUGGCUAAAAACACAAACUAUUUAUUUUCACAUGGGUGUCUUUAUGUUGCAUGGGGUUCCACUAGGCUUGACCUGGCAGUUCUGCUUCCGGCUGCAGUUGAGGGUUAACAGAACUGGCUCUGUCUCCAUGCAGCUCUCAUCCUCAGGGCAAUCCAAAGCUAGGAUGGAGCUGCAGCAAAAGCAGAAAUACCCCAAAGUCUCUUCAGAACUAGAAUAUUCAUGCUGUAAUCUUUCCCUACUUCUACAGCCAAACUCAAGGAGUGGGAAAGUAUACUCUUCCUCUUUAGAAGGAGCAACUACCCAGUUACCUAGCAAGGGAUGUGGAUACAGGGAGGGAGCAGGGACUGGAGCCAAUGAUUCAAUACCCCACACCUGCUAAUUCUUUGGCACUGAGCUGCUACUGCUUCAUUUGUGACACGUUCUUUCUUUUCCCUCCUAUGCCUCUUUCUCUAUUCCUCUCUAAUAAUUGCUUAUUAUUCCAAUUAUACAAGGAGGAUUGGUGAGUCAAAGUCAGUUGUUCAGAGUUAGUAAGAAAAAGAGUCAAAAUUCACAGGAAAGACCACAGAACUUCACACCUGAGCCCUUGGCUACAGCACUGUUUUGUUGAGGAAAGGGAUGCCCAGUACAUAAUAGAACCAGAAAUCAACCCCAGACUUUCUUUAAAGCUCAUACGCUAUCCUACAAUACAGCAUCUUUUAUAUACAAGAGAAACCUUAAUGGAAAGAGAUUAUGUAUUAAAAUAGCCAAUUUCUUUCUCCUCUUUCUCUCAGAACCUGUAUCUAAUACGUCACCUAUUCUCAAAUUCAUAACCUUUAAAUUCAUCGGUAACCAAUUGUUUCUCACCAUUUCCAUCACGAUUACCAUGAUCCAAGCCACUACCAUCUUUCAUCAGGAUGAUUGCAGUGACUUAGUUCCCUGCUUCUACCUCACAUAAAACCUGGGUGUGAUGCUCAGGAAAGCAGCCAAGAUGAUCCUUUUCAUAAGGAUUAACUUUUGGUCCAAGCCCUGCCAUGGCUCCCCAUUGUACUUGGAGUAAAUUUCAGUCUCUUUCCAAUGGCAGGGCCCUUCCUAACUAGAUCCCUCCAUCCCUUUCCUGGUUUGGCUCCAUCUCCUACUAUUUCUCCUUUCAUGCAUUUUACUCCAGUUACACUGGUCACCUUGCCAUUUCCCCAAAACGUCAAGUAGGCCCCAGUCUUAAACCUUAAGGCCUUGCAUUUGUACUGGAAUUCUCUGGCAGGGUUGAUCUUCAUGGAAAUAGUCACCUACUUACCUCCCUCAUCUUUGUCAGUUGUUUGCUGAAAUGUCAAUGAGCCUUCCUUAACACUGAAUUUAAAAUUGAAAACCCUCUCUUCCCCUGCUCCCUGUCAGUUUCUGCCCUACAAUCCCCCAAUCCCUUUAUCCUACUAUACUUUUUCUUUUCUGCUCUACCAUUUUUAAUCUCAUAACAAAUUAUAUAAUGUAAUCAUCUAUUAUGAUUUUUAUUUAUUGUCCAUCACCCAUUAUUUAGAGUAUAAAUUCAGCAAGAUAAGUUCUUCCUCUGUGCUGCUUACUGUUGUGUCUUAAAUAGUAACAAGUGUGUCUGCAACAUAACUUGAUAAAUUUUUGAUCUGUUGAAUGAACUGCUCACUGAGGCAGAGUUUCCGUAGUGCAUAGCGUUUGGAAAAAGACAAAUGCGAUUUUGUAAUGAAUGCAGGAUCUACAAAUAGCUACCUUUGUGACUUUGAGCAUGUUAAUGUUUAAGAGCCCUGCUUUUCUCUGAAAUGAUGAGCAGACUGUCAAGGUCUUACAAAACAACCUUCAUUUUUGACAGUUUCAUGGUAAUUGGAAUUCCAACAUCUGGCCUCUGGAGUUUAGCCAAGAACUGGGAGUUUACCAAAAGAGAGACAGUGUUGUUUCUGACCACAUAGAUUCCAACUACAUUUUCCAGAUCUAUUUGCAGCUUCUCUUAAAAUGGAGAACUGUCAUGUCCAAUGAGCCUUCCUCCUUCCUCUUCCCCCCUGCAGCCAGUUACCCUUCCUUCAAGCCAAGCAUGUAACACGAUUUCUUCUCUAGUUGCAAGCCGUCACUGUGGCUGGGAAAGGAAGGAGGUGGGGUAAAUUGGCUUUUAGCUACAUCCAAGGUAGCAGAGUCUGCUUUGCUGCUGCCAUCCCUUGAUGGGCAUUACAGUUGGGCACAAGAAAGAGGGAGUGUGUUGACUUAGCUCUGGCUGCCAUAACAAAGUACCACAGGCUGGUGGGCUUAAACAGCAGAAAUGUAUUUUCUCACCGUUCUGACGGUAAGAAGUCUGGAGAUCAAGGUGUUGGCAGGGUUGCUGUCUUGUGAGGCCUCUCUCCUUGGCUUUUAGAUGGCCGCCUUCUGCCUGGUCUUUCUUCUGUGUGUGCUCAUGUCUGCCUCUGAGUGUCUUCUUAUAAGGACGCCAGUCACGUUGGACGAGAGAUGACUCUAAUGACCUCAUUUAACCUUACUUACUUCUGUAAGGUCCCAGUUUCCAAAUACAGUCAUUUCUGGGGUACUGGGGGUUAGGACUCCGACACCUGAAUCUUCAAGGGCACGUUGAACCCAUUCCUGGGAGUCAUGAGAAUUAAAAGAACACGAAAUCCGUGAUUUGUGUUUGUUCAAAGUGCUUUAUUCUUCUCUGCUCUCAUAUGUAGAGUCAUUCUUUGAGCAUACAGGUGGGGUUACUAGGACAAGCUAGCUAUUUAAAAUGGAACAUGCCCAUUUGGAGUGUAAGUGCUUGUGUGAGUGAGUGGGUGGGAGUAGAUGUUCCCUAAAUAUUGAAACGUACUUUGAGGGACACAGAGCCACUUUUGAAAAUUCAAAAAUGAGUAAGGAAGAGUGAUUACAAUUAUAACUGUGAAAUAAUGGCAAUGUACCUUAUUACUAUUCCCUGUCACAGAUAGUAUUGUUUCUCCUGCAUAACCUGCCAGUUUUGAGUUCAUCUCAUAUUGCCAAAAAGAGUAAGAUAAAUAUUUCUCUGAAUAGCUUUUUGUGUUGGCAGUUCAGUCUGUCUUAUUUCUACCAGUCUCACAUAUUGAAUACCUAAAGAUCAAAUAAUGAUAGUGCUGCAGGGAGCCUGUCACUGUGACCUUCUAGACUGACAUCAGACUUUUCUCUUGAACGACACUUCCCAGACUCAUCUUUUCAACUCAUUUCCCAAGGACUGUAAAGCUGGCCUGAUGAAUUUCUUUGGCUAAUUUUAAUCUCUUAUUCCUUUCAUUUAGUAUUUGAACUCCUAUAUCUACACGUCACAGGAAACUUGCUAUCACUUAGCAUAAUUUUUCUUUAAAGCACAAAUAAAAAUCAACAAAGAAUUGUCUUCCUUCUUUUAAAAUAUAUAUUUUUUCUAUUUACUAUUACAUUGUUAGAUGUUUACCUUUUAUAAACAAUAUAUUUUUUAUAUUUUUCAUGAACACUAAAAAUCUUUAAAUCUCAUAUAUCAUCGUUUAGGGCUGAGAACUCCACAGGGUAUAUGUGUGUGUGUGUGUAUGAGAGAGAGAUUUUAAGUCACAUAGCUUAUUCUGAAGCUGAGGGCUAUAAUUAUUCAGUACUUGUGAUUCUCUGUGUUUCACUAUCUGCCAUGUGUGAGGAUUGAUAUAUCUGAGUGGGAACUCUCAGUACAUUUUGCCAGAAGUGAGUAAACCGUGUCCAGAAACCAAAUCUUUGUCAACUGGCCAAUUUUGCCAAUAAAGGUUAUUUGGAACACAACCAUAACUAUUCAUUUACAUAGAGUUGAGUAGUUGAAGCAGAGACUGCAUGCUUAUAAAGCCUAAAAUAUUUACUGUCU